This 460-nucleotide ribosomal RNA is filed under the name uncultured bacterium. Its description in RNAcentral is "partial 16S ribosomal RNA". It matches the Rfam family "Bacterial small subunit ribosomal RNA", at positions 338 to 795 of the family's 1533-position model. The record is from RNAcentral.
CCUACGGGAGGCAGCAGUGAGGAAUAUUGGUCAAUGGUCGGGAGACUGAACCAGCCAAGCCGCGUGAGGGAGGAAGGUACAGAGUAUCGUAAACCUCUUUUGUCAGGGAACAAAGACUGGGACGCGUCCCCGGAUGAGUGUACCUGAAGAAAAAGCAUCGGCUAACUCCGUGCCAGCAGCCGCGGUAAUACGGAGGAUGCGAGCGUUAUCCGGAUUUAUUGGGUUUAAAGGGUGCGGAGGCGGUUCGUUAAGUCAGCGGGCAAAGCCCGGGGCUCAAACCCGGCCCGGCGGUUGAUACUGGCAGUCUAGAGUUGGAGAGAGGUAUGCGGAAUGCGCGGUGUAGCGGUGAAAUGCAUAGAUAUGACGAAGAACCCCGAUUGCGAAGGCAGCUUGCUGAAGCGGAACUGACGCUGAUGCUCGAAAGCGCGGGUAUCGAACAGGAUUAGAUACCCCUGUAGUC